GGGGAUGUGGUUUAGUGGUAUAACGUUCGCUUAGCAUGCGAAAGGUCCGGGGUUCGAUUCCCCGCCUCUCCA
This 72-nucleotide transfer RNA is filed under the name Aspergillus tanneri. It matches the Rfam family "tRNA". From Rfam's summary of the family: Transfer RNA (tRNA) molecules are approximately 80 nucleotides in length. Their secondary structure includes four short double-helical elements and three loops (D, anti-codon, and T loops). Lineage: Eukaryota; Fungi; Ascomycota; Eurotiomycetes; Eurotiales; Aspergillaceae. The record is from Rfam by way of RNAcentral. RNAcentral also lists the same sequence under 1 other name.